AUACCUUUCUCGGCCUUUUGGCUAAGAUCAAGUGUAGUAUCUGUUCUUAUCAGUUUAAUAUCUGAUACGUGGGCCAUCGGCCCACAUGAUAUUAAAUUUAUUUUUAAAGGGGGAAGGCCCAACACAAUAGCUUGCUAUUGGGGCUUUCGAGCGUCGCCUUUGCGUUGCACUACUGCAUUGGCCUGGCGCACCCCUC
This is a non-coding RNA of Cucumis melo (muskmelon), 196 nucleotides long. NCBI's taxonomy places the organism in Eukaryota, Viridiplantae, Streptophyta, Magnoliopsida, Cucurbitales, Cucurbitaceae. The record is from Rfam.